GUAGAAUCAGAGGGGUGGUACAGCAAAGGUCAUGGGGCAGAGUCAGUCCCAAGUCAAGAUAGGCAAGUCCCAAGUCAAGUGAGCAAGCCCAACAAGUUCCAACGAUGGGGGUCAUAAAAAUUCAAUUUCUUUUUCAAUUCAAUUUUAUUUGUAUAGCGCCAAUUCAUAACAGAAGUUAUCUCAGGACACUUUUCAAAUAGAGCAGGUCUAGACCGAACUCUUCAACAUUAAAAAGCAAACGCUUCAUCCCCACCAUCCACUCUGUGAAUCACAAAAACAUUUAGAUAUGUGUAAUUCAUGAUCAGGCAAUAGGCUUUACAUGUUUAGCCCCACUCUCUGAAAAUACCACUUUAUGCAGCUUGCCUUUUGGGAAGACCUGAUGUCCUGAUGAUCACAAGAUAAACAGUGGAAACACUCUAAUCCUGUCACAGAUAACCUGGACCACCCUGCAUUGCUUUGCUGGAAACAACCCCUGAAGGUUGUCCUAACCUUGUGACAAAGCUGGAAUCCAUCUUGCUUGGCACAAGCUAUGCACUUCUGUCCGAAAACAGUGGUACCGGACCAAUCAGUGUCCUAUGAGGAACUUCUGGCAGCUACAGCAUCAGCUACUAGCGUGGUUUAACGUUGAGUGGCAUCUUAUGUUGCAGUCUCCAGCUAAUCCAAAGGACUUAACACUGCUGCACGGAUCAAAUACUCACAUACCACUUCAUACACAAACCAUGUGUUUGACAAAGGAUAAUGAACACAUGCUGAGCCCAUGUUUGAACUGAUUAUUCCAGACUACUGUCACAGGUUGAUCCAUUGUACAACCACUUACAGACGACUGGAGUCCUCACAUAUCAUAUGGAUACAUUUGCACUUAGCACAGGACUUUCUGUUCAUUAAAAAUGAUUGUUAGAUUGUGUGGGCAGUGAUACAACUUUUUUCCCUCAUUUAGGAAGAGCAGAAUCUAUAGUUAUAGUUAAAUAAAUGUAAAGUUAGAUAUCGUUUCAUACCACAGCCUACCAUUGUCAGAGCCAGGGGACAGAUGUGACAACCACAGAUACACAAAUGUAAUUAUACACAUUAGAAUUCACACGUGAAAAGUUGUACAGACUGAGCAACACAUACUCACUCCCAGCCCGUCAAAUUUGGCCACUUGGUCAUUGGCUCUACACUUCAAAUUAUGACGUUGUAGUCAGGGUACACAUGAGCUGGCAUAUGCCACCUUUUGGUCAGUAACACGUAUGGGAAAUAUCUUAGUGUAUUCACCUCAUUCCAUUCAUUAUGUUAAUACUGUUCGUACUGUUAAUAUCCUGCUAGUAUAUUCAUUCAAUUCUAUAAUGUUAUUUUUUUUAUAUAUCCCUGUACAUAUGCAAAUUACUCUGCACUUCACUGCUUUGCACUUCUGGUUAGAUGCUUAACUGCAUUUCGUUGCCCAGUACCUGUACUUGUGCAAUGACAAUAAAGUUGAAUCUAAUCUAAUCUAAUCUAAUCUAAUCUAAUCUAAUAUGCCUAAUAAAUAAAGACCUACAUAUUUACAUUAUACAUUACUAUAUUGAAUAGCAUAAUAUUGUGUGACCUAUAAGAUAUGUUGCUCUUCCUACCAUACGUGAGUACGUUACUUAAAAUAACAUACGGUUUCACAUGGGAAACAAACAGUGGCCUCCUGGGUUAAAGUCCUGGUUUUUUUUU
Molecule: long non-coding RNA, 1674 nt
Organism: Dicentrarchus labrax (European seabass)
Lineage: Eukaryota; Metazoa; Chordata; Actinopteri; Moronidae
Source: Ensembl